CCAAAAAUAAAAAGAAUCGUCUGAAACGAGGAACAAACUAAAAUGUAAAUUUUAGGUGUGAACGAGUGGAAGAUGAUUACUUUUUACCCUAUGUGUGUACACACAUAG
Molecule: non-coding RNA, 108 nt
Organism: Enterococcus durans ATCC 6056
Lineage: Bacteria; Bacillati; Bacillota; Bacilli; Lactobacillales; Enterococcaceae
Source: Rfam